CAAUAGCGUAUAUUUAAGUUGCUGCAGUUAAAAAGCUCGUAGUUGGAUUUCGGGUGGGAAUGGCCGGUCCGCCGUUUCGGUGUGCACUUGCUACGCCCACCUUGCUGCCGGGGACGUGCUCUUGAGUUCACGCUCGGGACACGGAGUCGGCGAGGUUACUUUGAGUAAAUUAGAGUGUUCAAAGCAGGCCUACGCUCUGAAUACAUUAGCAUGGAAUAACACGAUAGGACUCUGGCCUAUCUUGUUGGUCUGUAGGACCGGAGUAAUGAUUAAGAGGGACAGUCGGGGGCAUUCGUAUUUCAUUGUCAGAGGUGAAAUUCUUGGAUUUAUGAAAGACGAACUACUGCGAAAGCAUUUGCCAAGGAUGUAUUCAUUAA
RNAcentral lists this ribosomal RNA (377 nucleotides) under uncultured eukaryote. Its description in RNAcentral is "partial 18S ribosomal RNA". It matches the Rfam family "Eukaryotic small subunit ribosomal RNA", at positions 592 to 976 of the family's 1831-position model. The record is from RNAcentral.